This 400-nucleotide unclassified non-coding RNA is filed under the name uncultured fungus. RNAcentral describes it as "sequence contains ITS1". Lineage: Eukaryota; Fungi. The record is from RNAcentral.
ACGUCAUCCCCACCUUCCUCCGAGUUGACCCCGGCAGUCUCCCGCAAGUCCCCAGCCGGCCGAAACCGCUGCUGGCAAUACAGGACGAGGGUUGCGCUCGUUGCGGGACUUAACCCAACAUCUCACGACACGAGCUGACGACAACCAUGCACCACCUGUGCACGACCCCAAAGGACACGCGAUCUCUCGCGCUGCACCGUGCAUGUCAAGCCCUGGUAAGGUUCUUCGCGUCGCAUCGAAUUAAGCCGCAUGCUCCGCCGCUUGUGCGGGCCCCCGUCAAUUCCUUUGAGUUUUAGCCUUGCGGCCGUACUCCCCAGGCGGGGCGCUUAAUGCGUUAGCUGCGGCACGGAGCCCGUGGAAACAGGCCCCACACCUAGCGCCCAACGUUUACGGCGUGGAC